AUUGAACGCUGGCGGCAUGCUUUACACAUGCAAGUCGAACGGCAGCGCGGGGCAACCUGGCGGCGAGUGGCGCACGGGUGAGUAAUAUAUCGGAACGUACCCAGAAGUGGGGGAUAACGUAGCGAAAGUUACACUAAUACCGCAUACGAUCUACGGAUGAAAGUAGGGGACCGCAAGGCCUUAUGCUUUUGGAGCGGCCGAUAUCUGAUUAGCUAGUUGGUGAGGUAAAGGCUCACCAAGGCGACGAUCAGUAGCUGGUCUGAGAGGACGACCAGCCACACUGGAACUGAGACACGGUCCAGACUCCUACGGGAGGCAGCAGUGGGGAAUUUUGGACAAUGGGCGCAAGCCUGAUCCAGCAAUGCCGCGUGAGUGAAGAAGGCCUUCGGGUUGUAAAGCUCUUUUGUCAGGGAAGAAACGGUAGAGGCUAAUAUCCUUUGCUAAUGACGGUACCUGAAGAAUAAGCACCGGCUAACUACGUG
RNAcentral lists this ribosomal RNA (482 nucleotides) under uncultured bacterium. Its description in RNAcentral is "partial 16S ribosomal RNA". It matches the Rfam family "Bacterial small subunit ribosomal RNA", at positions 30 to 507 of the family's 1533-position model. The record is from RNAcentral.